Molecule: long non-coding RNA, 1974 nt
Filed under: Mus musculus (house mouse)
Lineage: Eukaryota; Metazoa; Chordata; Mammalia; Rodentia; Muridae
Description: RIKEN cDNA 2600014E21 gene
Source: RNAcentral
GAGGAAGAUAUUCCUUCUGGCCCACAGGAUGCCAAAAUGACUCGAUGAUUUAUUUAUGCAGCGCUUGGCAGCCCAUCGUCCAGAUUGUGGCUGAAGCUGAAUUUUAUGAGCCUUCCCCCAAAAAACUGGAAGAUUUUGCCAUCUUACAAGCCCUCUUCCUUAAGAAAGAGAAAGAUGAGCAGUAAAUAUCCUCUGGCACGUCGGCACAUUCUGUCUCUUCGUGUUUUCAUGAAGUGUUCAUGACAUGGGAUUGAAGUACUCCUUUGUGUUCAGUAUUUGAUAUCAAAUCCUUUACAAAUCACUGGGAGAAUGGUAGAAGGAAUGAUGAGCUUUCCCUGAAGGUUCCAGCUUCUUCCUGCCACUAUUCUCUAGGGUGGGGUCACCUUCAUCUGGUUCCAGGAUGCAGCAUGCCCAGGUCUAAGAAGUCACCCCUUUUGUUACAGUCACUAGACUUUAUCAGGUGCAGAAGGGGUGAUGCCUGACCUACACACCCGGCAAUACCAGAAGUUUCACUACCUUCCGUUGGUAAACGCUUCAGGGAAGGCUCUGCAACCCUGAACGUGUUUUAUUGUAGAACCUCACUAGGAAACUCAUCAGUAUUUAUUAAAGAUGAAUUAAAAGAAGGAGGAAAAGGAAAAACGGGAUAGUGAAGAGAAUAGAUGAAUGAAAAAGAAGCAAAGGGAAGAGAGGAGGAAGGGACAAAGAGGGCAAGAAAAGAGAAAAGAGAGAUGAGAGACCAGGACUUCCCACCUAACCUUACCAAACUUUUUCAGUUGAGCUUUUAAUGGGAUACUAUUCCCAAGAGGAAAUUCAAAAAGAAAACCACCUUGAAACAUCCUUGCUUUUAAUUGUACUCUUUCAACUGCCAGGAAAUUAAUUAGGUAAGACAAAAAGAAAAUUUUCUACCUUAAUAAAAAGAAGCCAACACCCAGGAACAACUGUCUUUGCUUGAGAACAGUGUUACGUGUACAAAGCUGCCUACAAAGUGUCUCCCGCCUGGCUCAGGCAAGAAACUGGGACAGAAGUCUGUGAUGUUAUACCAGCCUGGGAGUCGUGCAUGGUCAUGUCAGUGUCGAGUGCACCAGGCGACACAGGGACAUGCCAGGCACCGCUCCUCCAGAGAGACUUGCCAGGUAUACAUGUUACCUCUCUCCCUUAGGCUUCACAGACUCGGCGGCCUUCCUCCAACCACCUGUCUCCUUAGGAAGUUUGAGAGAACUUUCUCCUCUGUGAUACAAACAGUAACCAAACAAAGCAGUAAACAAUCCAGUGUGGAAAGCACAUACUAAAGCUAAGAUUUAAUGUCACUGAAAUAAAAUCAUAACAACAAAAAACUCCAAGUACCCUUUCUUUGCAUAAUGUAUUUCAGGUGUCCAGCUACAGAGGCCAAGCCUGUGAUUUACAUCAAGCAAAGAGUCCUGGGAGAAAGAGGAGGAAAGACCGCCUUUGCCUGGGACAAGAUUCCUAUUUGUGUCAAGGAGAGUUAGGGACGAGAUGGUUGAGGCAGAGCAGCUGACUGCAGUCUUUAUCCAGUUUGCAUUGCUUUGGGGAAAGCCUUUUAACUGCAAGCCGGAUUGUCCAGAUGCUGGGCUGUCCGGAUGCUGGAUGGUCCAGAUGCUUUGUCGUGGUUGUUCCCUCUGAGUUUCCUCUGCCUUCUGGCUCCUCUUAGUCACCUUCACAACAGGGCUUUAUCAGGACUCUAGAGCAUCGGGCAAGCUCAGGUCUCACCUCUCCUUUUAAUUCUGCAGGAGUCUAUGCCAUGUACUCCAGCCCUGCAUAGAAUGAGUUCUGGAGUUCACCUGGAGCCCACGGAGAGUGGAUGUGGAACUUUUCUGUAGAACAUAGGAGCCGUCUGUACCGGCACAGCUUCAGCCAGCAAUAAGCAUUACCAGCUCCUGCCAGAGGAGCAAGAGGCAGGUACAAACAGUUGGUUUCUUCUCUACUUAAGGAAAAAAGAGAAAAGAAAAAAAAAAA